AUGUUGCACAGCUAUAAACAAAGAGAGAUUUCAGGACAACAAUGCACACGUAUCUUUCUUUGGGAAAAGCAGUCACCGUUGUGGGCUUCUUCUAAUAGUUGCUAUGGGUGUUGGUUGCAUUCUGAGAGUGUCUUGGGUCUGCUUGUUGCUCUGUGGUGGCAGUCUUGCUGCAUCAAUGAAGGGGUACAACAAUCCCUAUACCGAUGCCAGCCGUGGACUUGGGGGUUUUCAAGAGGAGCAGCUGGUGUUUUCUCCAUCAAAAGUAUUGAGUUCCUAUGGCCAAGCAACAGGCUACGCAGACAGAAGCUACAGAUCCCCGGUAGCACUACAGAUUAACUGGGACUUGUUCAUGCCUCAUGAGCCACUCACGUUCCCUUUAAACCCCACAUACAAGACUGUUAGAGGGUCUAACGAUCCGCAUGGCGGAGUAUUCAUUGAGCCUUCUACCCAAUCUUCAAAGCCAGGGAGCUUUGGUUUUCCCAGUUCUGUACCCUCCUUCGACCCUGUCCCCCAUCAUCAGUUCACUGACUCUGAGGUCACGCCCAUCAAUUCGACACUUGAUGCUGACCCAGUAUCUAGCAUAGGUGGAUACGGCCUGCCUCAGCACCUCAGCCUCCAGUUUGACAGAGCAGGUGAUGCCCAAGGCUAUUCCCCUAACUUUGAGGCCAAGCACCCUUCUUCUGAAAAUGCACAGCUUCCUUCCAAAGAGGUUGGCCCCUCCAACUACAACUCAGACAGUGCUGUCCAGCCAAGCAGUUGGCUGUCUCGACCCUUCGAGAGCAAAGAGGUGCCGGUAUUCUCCAGUCAUACUUGGAGGCGUCAACCCCCUCUGAAUGAAGCUGUUCAGCUUCAGCAGCAGGGUAUUGAUAAACAGCCUCAUCGACAAGGUUAGUGGAAUAGCUUUGUGAACCUUCUUGUACACCAGCUUGGAAGUUGAGGUUCAGUGAAGAGCUAGAGUAAUCCCCUUUAGUGUCAGUACUAGGUACUGCUUCCGCCUCCAGAGGCUGUUCGCUAAUGGUCUGCGCUGCUUGGGCCCAGUCACCUGAAUUACUGACGUAAACCGGCUCCUCUUCUCUAGUCAUGUAAGGAGCAGAAGACCAAGUGCUGGGCUGGACCACAUUCACAGAGUUGUAGUCGGAGAGGUCACUCUCUUCUGAAGGAAGCUGUGCAGUUUCAGCAGCAGGGUAUUGAUAAACAGCCUCAUCAACAAGGUUAGUGGAAUAGCUUUGUGAACCCUCUUGUACACCAGCUGGGAGGUCAAGGUGCAGUGAAGAGCUAGAGUAACCCCCUUUAGUGUCAGUACUAGGUACUGCUUCAGCCUCCAGAAUAUGUUCACCAAUGUUCGGAGCGGCGUGGGCCCAGUCACCUGCAUUACUGGAGAAUACCGGCUCUUCUGUGGUAAUGUAACGAUCAGAGGACCAACUGCUUGGCUGUUCCGCAACCACAGAGUCAUAGGUGUAGGGGUCAUCAUCUGGUGAAGGAAGCUGUGCAGUUUCAGCAGCUGGGUAUUGAUAAACAGCCUCAUCGACAAGGUUAGUGGAAUAGCUUUGUGAACCUUCUUGUACACCAGCUGGGAGGUCAAGGUGCAAUGAAGAGUAAGCCCCUUUAGUGUCAGAGGGUGGGAAGUGAGGCUUCGUGCUGCCCCACUGCUCCUCAAAAGAGUGAUCAUGCUGGUUGGGAGGGUUUAGAGGGAAUGUCACUGGCUUGACAAGUUUCUGGUCUUCCAUCUCAGCAUUUUUCUGUCCAAACUCCACAGCUCCUCCUCCCUGGAUCCUCGCCCCUUCCUCGGGGUUCAACGGUGCCUGCUUUGGAGCUGCAGCUAGUGGGACGUUUUUGCUUCGGUCUGAAUAGCCUUUUUCUAGGCUAUAUGCAUCAAACCUUAGAGUAUGAGAAGUUUGUAGCUCGUCAUCUUUAUCACCCCCAAUUUCAGGAUGGUCAUUCUUGGAGGUAUAGCUAUAACCUAAAAUAAAAUACAAAAAAAACAUAUUAAGUGACCAUGUGAAUCAAACAAGUAAAAAAUAUUCUAUGUGCAAUGUUACCCUUCAAUGAUGGAAAAGGAAGACUGCCACCAAACAGCAACCAAGAAAACCAAGACACUCUGCAAUACAAGAAAAAGUGUUAAUCAGCUACACAUAUAACUGAAGAGAGAAGACAAAAGCUACAACGCCAAGACUACCUGAGAAUGCACCCAACAGCCAUGGCACACUAGAUUCAAAGUAUUUCCCAGACAGAUUGGUAGAGGCCAAACCAGACCUACAGCACUGUUGCACUGAUCCUCUGCUAUCUCUUUAUAUUGUGGCCCUGUAGCCAAUCAACGCAAGCAUUUGCAGCUCCUAGCCUUUGCAUCAUAAUCAUCCACAUCAAAUACAGGUGUGGUAUUUGGGCAACCAUGUUCUUACUCCAAUAGUAUCCGUCUGCUUCCUGCAAGAGGGAGGCGUGACUUGUAGUAGGCGUAACUUGUAGUUGGAGGCGUGUCUUGUACUUUUCUAAAUCACGGAAGUAGGAGGG
Gadus morhua (Atlantic cod) is the source of this 2508-nucleotide long non-coding RNA. The record is from Ensembl. NCBI's taxonomy places the organism in Eukaryota, Metazoa, Chordata, Actinopteri, Gadiformes, Gadidae.